This 76-nucleotide transfer RNA is filed under the name Desulfobulbus sp. Its description in RNAcentral is "tRNA-Gly". It matches the Rfam family "tRNA". From Rfam's summary of the family: Transfer RNA (tRNA) molecules are approximately 80 nucleotides in length. Their secondary structure includes four short double-helical elements and three loops (D, anti-codon, and T loops). RNAcentral also lists the same sequence under 74 other names. The record is from RNAcentral. Lineage: Bacteria; Pseudomonadati; Thermodesulfobacteriota; Desulfobulbia; Desulfobulbales; Desulfobulbaceae.
GCGGGAAUAGCUCAAUUGGUAGAGCAUCAGCCUUCCAAGCUGAGGGUUGCGAGUUCGAGUCUCGUUUCCCGCUCCA